GUUUAAUUUCAUUUGAAUGAAAGUUUCAUUUAAAGGGUUAAAAUCCUGAAAAUGAAUGAAUAUUUGGUAGUUAUGAUCAGGACUGAUGUUGGUUACAAAAUCUGUGAAAGUGGAAAAUUAUAUUUAUAUUUAAUAUUAUUAUGGCAGUUUUUUAAUGCUGACAUUUUUGUCCUCUAAGGACCUCUGAAUUUACUUUUUUUAUUAUUAUUGACGCACAGCUCAGACGCUUAAUUUGCUGGUCCAGCUAAUGCGCAUGCGUCCCGAGUUAACUGACAGGCGAUGUCUGUAUUUAAAAGCUGAUUGGCUCGUUUACAAGUAAGGCGGGACUUCCUUUUCUUCAUCCGCCAUAUUGGGUGUUCACAAAUUUAGUUUUCUUGAGCUAAAGAGUCUUUGCUUGUAUUGAACAUACUGGUGACAUGCCAACAUUUGGGGAAGUGUCUGUCAUAUUUGUGCAGUGAGCAACAGGUUCAUGUCCGGAACUAUUCUAAGCGCGGAGUGAGACACACUGGAACAAACCAAAACUCCACACCAGUGAGCUGAAUGAUGGUUAUGACGGGUCGACUCAAUCUGCAGUCCGUCACUGAGCAGAGACUUUCUGGCACAGAAUUGAUUGCAG
Molecule: long non-coding RNA, 616 nt
Organism: Xyrauchen texanus (razorback sucker)
Lineage: Eukaryota; Metazoa; Chordata; Actinopteri; Cypriniformes; Catostomidae
Exons: 3
Source: RefSeq, a predicted model, not a curated record